UUAAAAUUAUAAUACAUAUUUGUCCAGAUAAAUUAGGGUGGUACCGUGAUUAAUCUCGCCCCU
Molecule: small RNA, 63 nt
Filed under: Romboutsia lituseburensis
Lineage: Bacteria; Bacillati; Bacillota; Clostridia; Peptostreptococcales; Peptostreptococcaceae
Description: T-box
Source: RNAcentral